GGGCCCGCACAAGCGGCGGCCGCAUGUGGAAUAAUUCGAUGCAACGCGAAGAACCUUACCUGGGCUUGACAUGCGCCAGACAUCCCCAGAGAUGGGGCUUCCCUUGUGGUUGGUGUACAGGUGGUGCAUGGCUGUCGUCAGCUCGUGUCGUGAGAUGUUGGGUUAAGUCCCGCAACGAGCGCAACCCUUAUCCUACGUUGCCAGCGCGUCAUGGCGGGGACUCGUGGGAGACUGCCGGGGUCAACUCGGAGGAAGGUGGGGAUGACGUCAAGUCAUCAUGCCCCUUAUGUCCAGGGCUUCACACAUGCUACAAUGGCUGGUACAGAGGGCUGCGAUACCGCGAGGUGGAGCGAAUCCCUUAAAGCCGGUCUCAGUUCGGAUCGCAGUCUGCAACUCGACUGCGUGAAGUCGGAGUCGCUAGUAAUCGCAGAUCAGCAACGCUGCGGUGAAUACGUUCCCGGGCCUUGUACACACCGCCCGUCACGUCAUGAAAGUCGGUAACACCCGAAGCCCAUGGCCC
RNAcentral lists this ribosomal RNA (520 nucleotides) under Amycolatopsis sp. RNAcentral describes it as "bacterial SSU rRNA". It matches the Rfam family "Bacterial small subunit ribosomal RNA", at positions 917 to 1436 of the family's 1533-position model. Lineage: Bacteria; Bacillati; Actinomycetota; Actinomycetes; Pseudonocardiales; Pseudonocardiaceae. The record is from RNAcentral.